This 78-nucleotide transfer RNA is filed under the name Dipodomys ordii (Ord's kangaroo rat). The record is from Rfam by way of RNAcentral. Lineage: Eukaryota; Metazoa; Chordata; Mammalia; Rodentia; Heteromyidae.
GGGAAGGUAGCUCAGUGGUACAGUGCUUGCCUUGUAUGCAAGAGGCCCUGGGUUCUAUAUUAGAUUCCCUUCUUUCUA